This 432-nucleotide ribosomal RNA is filed under the name uncultured bacterium. RNAcentral describes it as "partial 16S ribosomal RNA". It matches the Rfam family "Bacterial small subunit ribosomal RNA", at positions 29 to 506 of the family's 1533-position model. The record is from RNAcentral.
AACGAACGCUGGCGGCAUGCCUAACACAUGCAAGUCGAACGAGACCUUCGGGUCUAGUGGCGCACGGGUGCGUAACGCGUGGGAACCUGCCCUUAGGUUCGGAAUAACUCCCCGAAAGGGGUGCUAAUACCGGAUAAUGUCUUCGGACCAAAGAUUUAUCGCCUUUGGAUGGGCCCGCGUUGGAUUAGCUAGUUGGUAGGGUAAAAGCCUACCAAGGCGACGAUCCAUAGCUGGUCUGAGAGGAUGAUCAGCCACACUGGGACUGAGACACGGCCCAGACUCCUACGGGGGGCAGCAGUGGGGAAUAUUGGAAAAUGGGCGAAAGCCUGAUCCAGCAAUGCCGGGGGGGGGAUGAAGGCCUUAGGUUUUUAAAGCUUUUUUACCCGGGAUGAUAAUGACAGUACCGGGAGAAUAAACCCCGGCAAACUCCGU